This 462-nucleotide ribosomal RNA is filed under the name uncultured bacterium. Its description in RNAcentral is "partial 16S ribosomal RNA". It matches the Rfam family "Bacterial small subunit ribosomal RNA", at positions 29 to 523 of the family's 1533-position model. The record is from RNAcentral.
AAUGAACGUUGGCGGCAUGGAUUAGGCAUGCAAGUCGGGGGAAUCCCAGCAAUGGGGGAACCGGCGUAAGGGGCAGUAAGGCAUGGGUACCUACCUUGGGGUUCGGGAUAGCCAUCAGAGAUGGUGGGUAAUACCGGAUGACGUCGUGAGACCAAAGAUUUAUCGCCCUUAGAGGGGCCCAUGUGAUAUUAGCUAGUUGGUGGGGUAACGGCCCACCAAGGCGAAGAUGUCUAGCGGGUGUGAGAGCACGACCCGCGCCACUCGCACUGAGACACUGGCGAGACACCUACGGGUGGCUGCAGUCGAGGAUCUUCGGCAAUAAGCGCAAGCUUGACCGAGCGAUGCCGCGUGAGCGAUGAAGGCCUUCGGGUUGUAAAGCUCUUUAGUGGGGGAGAAAAGCCGCAAGGUGUGAUCUAUCCCAAAGAUAAGCACGGGCUAAGUUCGCGCCAGCCGCCGCGGUAA